GGGCCGGUAGAUCAACGGUAGAUCGCGGCUCUUGCAAAGCCGAGGCUCCGGGUUCGAAUCCCGGCCGGUCCA
Molecule: transfer RNA, 72 nt
Filed under: archaeon
Lineage: Archaea
Description: tRNA-Ala
Rfam family: tRNA
About the family: Transfer RNA (tRNA) molecules are approximately 80 nucleotides in length. Their secondary structure includes four short double-helical elements and three loops (D, anti-codon, and T loops).
Source: RNAcentral